CCAGUGAAAUGAAGAAUUUGGGCCAGAGGUGUCCACCUGACUGAAAACGAUCCUCGUACACACGCCUAUCAGCCAGUGGCGUGAUCUGUCUCACCACCCUCUGUGGGCAAUGCACGUUUUGUAAUCAAGGAUCCUGACAGGAGGCUCCUGAAAGCAAGGGGUCAUGAUCCACAGGAUAAGAACCACUGCUGUAGAACAUUUUCUUAAUUAGUAAUUGAUAUGGAAUGGCCUAACCCACUGAAGGUGAUGCCCAACUCUGGGCUGGUGAUCCUGGGUUCUACAAGAAAGUAAGCUGAGCAAGCCACGAGGAGCAAGUCAGUA
This is a non-coding RNA of Mus caroli (Ryukyu mouse), 321 nucleotides long. The record is from RefSeq and is a predicted model, not a curated record. NCBI's taxonomy places the organism in Eukaryota, Metazoa, Chordata, Mammalia, Rodentia, Muridae.